AUUUAUUAUUAUUAUAAUAAUAUUUAUUAUAAUGUCCGAAGUUGUCCUGGUGGCACACUCUAUGGAUUGUUGUUUAGUCACAUACAGUAUUGAAUGAAGCAGUGGCAUUUAUAAUGUUAUAUGGUGAAAUUAUAGGUUAAAUAUACAGUAGGAUCUAUGAAGCACUGAAAUGCUGUCACCAUUUCAAGAAUAUUAAUCUUUGUAGGUGGUGUUGACUUUGUCAGAAUAAAUAACAUUUCUAUUCUCAAAUAUUGGUUUUAGCAUUUGUUUAAUAUGGUUUUAUAAAUGUAUAAAGAGUUAAGUGGAUGCAGCAUUGGUUCGCGUGAUUCUGUAUUGUGUGUACGCAUCUGGUUGUGGUCCAGAUGUUUAACAUCCAGUAUUUUUUUUUAAGCAAGCAGAAAUGCAGAGUUCGGGUUGGAUGUUUAUCACCUGCCAGGGAGUGUCUUUUUAAAAUCUAGUGUUACUUUGCAGAUCAGAUGUUUUAUGUAUACAGUUAUAUUUGAAUUAAGUCUAGAUGAAGCUUAUGUAUUGAACAGGAAUGCUCUUGAACACAUUUUUUUAGAUUCACUUGAGCCCACUACUUUUUAUGAUAUUUCACAUCAUCCUGUUAUAAAAGGGAGUUUUUAAAUGAAAACUUGCAUGUAACUUUUCUUUUGCAUCCGGACUUUGCAGAUGUUUGUCUUCACGAAAACGUCUUCAUCGGAAUAUGUGACUUUAAUUUUAUUUUUGUAAUGUCACAAAUUCAGGACUGUAAAUGAACUGUAAGAUACACUAACUGAUGAAUAUACAGCAACACAGUGCACGUACGAAGAGCUACAGGGUGGUUGGACUGAGACCUGUGGAGGGUUUUAGUUUUGUCGACAGACUUGAGGGGAAUUAUAUCAAAUGUUUACAUUGCUUUUAAUUUCUAAUAAACUACAAAUUAAAGAGU
Molecule: long non-coding RNA, 931 nt
Organism: Etheostoma cragini (Arkansas darter)
Lineage: Eukaryota; Metazoa; Chordata; Actinopteri; Perciformes; Percidae
Exons: 4
Source: RefSeq, a predicted model, not a curated record